ACUAGAAAUUCUCAAAACAUUCCUUCAAAGUAUGUAUUAUCCUUAUUUUACAGAUGAGAGAAUUGAGACAAGGAAAUUAUAUGCCGUGCUCAAUAUAAAUACAACUGGCUAUAACUUCAGGAGGGCAAAGUACAUCAUCUCUCUCAUUCACUCCUGUGUCUUGAGCAUCCAGUACUGUGCCAGGCAUAUGCUCUACAGAACAGAAGCAAUGGCCAGAGGAACUGGAGUCGGG
Molecule: long non-coding RNA, 232 nt
Organism: Orcinus orca (killer whale)
Lineage: Eukaryota; Metazoa; Chordata; Mammalia; Artiodactyla; Delphinidae
Exons: 3
Source: RefSeq, a predicted model, not a curated record